GAUACGUACCUGAAUAAAGGGUCACCUUGAUAGGGUGGACAAUAGAGGUUUAAAUCCCCUCGUCUCCUU
Molecule: transfer RNA, 69 nt
Filed under: Geochelone elegans (star tortoise)
Lineage: Eukaryota; Metazoa; Chordata; Testudines; Testudinidae
Description: tRNA-Ile
Rfam family: tRNA
About the family: Transfer RNA (tRNA) molecules are approximately 80 nucleotides in length.
Source: RNAcentral